This 427-nucleotide unclassified non-coding RNA is filed under the name Hevea brasiliensis (rubber tree). The record is from RNAcentral. Lineage: Eukaryota; Viridiplantae; Streptophyta; Magnoliopsida; Malpighiales; Euphorbiaceae.
GGAUUUUUUUUUUUUUUUUUUUAAGAAGUUGUAUUUUUUUAUUCUCCUUUUUUUUUUCUUUUGUUUUAUUUUUAAUUUUCAAAAUUCUGUGACAAAGAAAGAUGUGUUUAUGUAUACAUCCAUUCCAACCCUAGCUUUUGAAACGGGGGCUUGGGAUGCUUCUUAUGUCUUUCAAAAGGCUGAAAGCCAUGAGGAAUGAAGAAUUGUUUUGUUUGAUUUGAUACAUCUAUGUUGUAUUUGGGCCAUUGAAAAAGUAUAUAAAGGUGAAUGUUAUUAGAUUUGUUUGGAAUGUUGGGGUUCUUCUUUUCUCAGUGGGAAGUCACCUUUUCACUGUUACAUAGCACUGUGUUUGGGGAUCAAGAUAACACAGCAACUAUCUUUCAGGAGUUUCAGGGAAAUGAUAUUUACAUACUUUGAUCAGAUGGUA